GGACUACCGGGGUUUCUAAUCCUGUUUGAUCCCCACACUUUCGUGCCUCAGUGUCAAUAAUAGCGUAGCGAGCUGCCUUCGCAAUCGAUGUUCUAUGUCAUAUCUAAGCAUCUCACCGCUACAUGACAUAUUCCGCUUACCUCCACAACAUUCAAGAUAUAUAGUAUCAAUGGCAAUUUCCGGGUUAAGCCCAGAGAUUUCACCACUGACUUACAUAUCCGCCUGCGCACCCUUUAAACCCAGUGAAUCCGGAUAACGCUUGCACCCUCCGUAUUACCGCGGCUGCUG
Molecule: ribosomal RNA, 288 nt
Filed under: uncultured bacterium
Lineage: Bacteria
Also listed under: 1 other name
Description: partial 16S ribosomal RNA
Source: RNAcentral